Molecule: ribosomal RNA, 497 nt
Filed under: uncultured bacterium
Lineage: Bacteria
Description: partial 16S ribosomal RNA
Rfam family: Bacterial small subunit ribosomal RNA
Source: RNAcentral
GAUGAACGCUGGCGGUGUGCCUAAUACAUGCAAGUCGAGCGAACAGACGAGGAGCUUACUCCUCUGACGUUAGCGGCGGACGGGUGAGUAACACGUGGAUAACCUACCUAUAAGACUGGGAUAACUUCGGGAAACCGGAGCUAAUACCGGAUAACAUGUUGAACCGCAUGGUUCAACAGUGAAAGACGGUCUUGCUGUCACUUAUAGAUGGAUCCGCGUCGCAUUAGCUAGUUGGUAAGGUAACGGCUUACCAAGGCAACGAUGCGUAGCCGACCUGAGAGGGUGAUCGGCCACACUGGAACUGAGACACGGUCCAGACUCCUACGGGAGGCAGCAGUAGGGAAUCUUCCGCAAUGGGCGAAAGCCUGACGGAGCAACGCCGCGUGAGUGAAGAAGGUCUUCGGAUCGUAAAACUCUGUUAUUAGGGAAGAACAAAUGUGUAAGUAACUAUGCAUGUCUUGACGGUACCUAAUCAGAAAGCCACGGCUAACUACGUG